Molecule: non-coding RNA, 182 nt
Filed under: Gammaproteobacteria bacterium HGW-Gammaproteobacteria-10
Lineage: Bacteria; Pseudomonadati; Pseudomonadota; Gammaproteobacteria
Also listed under: 1 other name
Description: 6S RNA
Rfam family: 6S / SsrS RNA
About the family: E. coli 6S RNA was the first non coding RNA to be sequenced, but its function was unknown until recently. It consists of 184 nucleotides that fold into an extended hairpin structure with a large single-stranded internal bulge. The 6S RNA specifically associates with RNA polymerase holoenzyme containing the sigma70 specificity factor.
Source: RNAcentral
UAUCUCCUGCGGCGAUACGAGGACGGGCUGGGUGUUUCCUGAACCUAUUUUUGCCCAGGGAAUUUUUUUUCAGUAUUGGUGUGCAUACCCGCUUUAAGUGGGGAGUCUGAUAUGCUGAAUGAAUUCCCACUUGAACUUUCGGUUCAAGGACGAAAGCCCGUCACGGCGCAGGCGGGAGAUAC